Molecule: ribosomal RNA, 253 nt
Filed under: uncultured bacterium
Lineage: Bacteria
Description: partial 16S ribosomal RNA
Rfam family: Bacterial small subunit ribosomal RNA
Source: RNAcentral
UACGGAGGAGGCUAGCGUUGUUCGGAAUUACUGGGCGUAAAGCGCACGUAGGCGGCUUUGUAAGUUAGAGGUGAAAGCCCAGGGCUUAACCCUGGAAUUGCCUUUAAGACUGCAUCGCUAGAAUCGUGGAGAGGUGAGUGGAAUUCCGAGUGUAGAGGUGAAAUUCGUAGAUAUUCGGAAGAACACCAGUGGCGAAGGCGACUCACUGGACACGUAUUGACGCUGAGGUGCGAAAGCGUGGGGAGCAAACAGG